GUAAUAUCACUGGGAGGGCUCGCUUUUUUG
RNAcentral lists this non-coding RNA (30 nucleotides) under Cricetulus griseus (Chinese hamster). The record is from RNAcentral. Lineage: Eukaryota; Metazoa; Chordata; Mammalia; Rodentia; Cricetidae.